CAACUCACACCACCAGUCUCCAUCCAACUCGUUUUCUUCUCCCUCAUUCCUCUGGAUAUAAACACACAAAGUCACACACAAAAAAGAGGACACACCUAAAGAGAGGGGGACGGACAGAAAAAUUUUGGAGAAAGCAGCAGUGAUAGAAUGGGUAAAAACGGAGGAAGGAAAAUCGAAGAAGAUAGACUGAUAGAGAGUAUAAUAGUGAACGAGUAGACAAUCGAGGCAAUCGAAGUUCGAGUUCCGAAAAUCCGUUCGAGUUGGGAAGGUUUUCGGCCGAGGUCUUGUUCGCAUUUCCGAUUCCAAUGUUGUUGUCAAAUUUCAGUUUUCCUAAUUGAACGGUCAUUGCUAUUGUACAAAUUUUGACUUGGAUUUCUCUUUGUUAAUACAUUGAAGAUGGUUUUCUACCAGUGAAGAUCUAGACAUUAGUAAAGGCGGAUUCCCGAGAGGUGCUUAGCGGAUACCAGUCAGGUGAUUCGAGAUUGAGCUGCAUUCCAUUCGCAAGCCUUAGAGUCAUCUUCCUAUUUCUAUUGUAUUGUUUCUACAUUUCUGACAGUAUUAUAUUUCUUUCAAAACUGUAUUUAGUAAACUCUAGUAGCUCAUGUACUUGUGACUCCACGUCUUGGGAUGGUUGAACGUUAGUGUUGAUCUUAGACUUAUCAUGAAUACUUUCGAGUUGCUUUUAUACUAUAUUAUUAUCUUGCUGUAAGUUGUUAA
This is a non-coding RNA of Nicotiana tabacum (common tobacco), 717 nucleotides long. NCBI's taxonomy places the organism in Eukaryota, Viridiplantae, Streptophyta, Magnoliopsida, Solanales, Solanaceae. The record is from RefSeq and is a predicted model, not a curated record.